GAUGAAGAACGUAGCGAAAUGCGAUAAGUAAUGUGAAUUGCAGAAUUCAGUGAAUCAUCGAAUCUUUGAACGCACAUUGCGCCCCUUGGUAUUCCAUGGGGCAUGCCUGUUCGAGCGUCAUUUGUACCUUCAAGCUUUGCUUGGUGUUGGGUGUUUGUCCCUCGGGACUCGCCUUAAAGUCAUUGGCAGCCAGUGUUUUGGUUUUGAAGCGCAGCACAAGUCGCGAUUCAAGGCUAUCCGCCCGCUUCCACAAGCCUUUUUCACUUUUGACCUCGGAUCAGGUAGGGAUACCCGCUGAACUUAAGCAUAUCAAUAAGCGGAGGA
RNAcentral lists this unclassified non-coding RNA (324 nucleotides) under soil metagenome. RNAcentral's name for it is "partial contains 5.8S ribosomal RNA, internal transcribed spacer 2, and large subunit ribosomal RNA". The stretch from base 1 to 120 matches the Rfam family "5.8S ribosomal RNA", at positions 35 to 154 of the family's 154-position model. The record is from RNAcentral.